Molecule: ribosomal RNA, 776 nt
Filed under: uncultured fungus
Lineage: Eukaryota; Fungi
Description: eukaryotic LSU rRNA
Rfam family: 5.8S ribosomal RNA (bases 247-400)
Source: RNAcentral
GUAAAAGUCGUAACAAGGUUUCCGUAGGUGAACCUGCGGAAGGAUCAUUAACGAGUAACUGAACAGGUUGUAGCUGCCCUCUCGGGGCAUGUGCACGCCUGGCUCAUCCACUCUUCAACCACUGUGCACUUAUUGUAGGUCGGUUCAGAAGGGCGAGUGUAACAGCUCGCUCGGAAGGCCUUCCUAUGUUUUAUUACGAACGCUUCAGUUUAAGAAUGUAAACCUGCGUAUAACGCAUCUAUAUACAACUUUCAGCAACGGAUCUCUUGGCUCUCGCAUCGAUGAAGAACGCAGCGAAAUGCGAUAAGUAAUGUGAAUUGCAGAAUUCAGUGAAUCAUCGAAUCUUUGAACGCACCUUGCGCUCCCUGGUAUUCCGGGGAGCAUGCCUGUUUGAGUGUCAUGGUAUUCUCAUCCUUCAUAACUUUUGUUAUCGAAGGCAUGGACUUGGAGGUCGUGCUGGUUCCUCGUUGAAUCGGCUCCUCUCAAAUGCAUUAGCGUGAGUGUAACGGAUCGCUUCGGUGUGAUAAUUAUCUGCGCCGUGGUCGUGAAGUAACAUAAGCUUGCGCUUCUAACCGUCCUUAAGCUGGACAACUUACUUUGACAUCUGACCUCAAAUCAGGUAGGACUACCCGCUGAACUUAAGCAUAUCAAUAAGCGGAGGAAAAGAAACUAACAAGGAUUCCCCUAGUAACUGCGAGUGAAGCGGGAAAAGCUCAAAUUUAAAAUCUGGCAGCUUUGGCUGUCCGAGUUGUAAUCUGGAGAAGCGUCUUCCGCGC